UACGUAGGGGGCAAGCGUUGUUCGGAAUUACUGGGCGUAAAGGGCGCGUAGGCGGCAUGGCAAGUCAGGAGUGAAAGGCCUGGGCUCAACCGAGGAACUGCUUUUGAUACUGCCAAGCUAGAGUGCGGAAGGGGCAACUGGAAUUCCCAGUGUAGCGGUGAAAUGCGUAGAUAUUGGGAAGAACACCUGAGGCGAAGGCGGGUUGCUGGGCCGACACUGACGCUGAGGCGCGAAAGCCAGGGGAGCAACGGG
Molecule: ribosomal RNA, 252 nt
Filed under: uncultured bacterium
Lineage: Bacteria
Description: partial 16S ribosomal RNA
Rfam family: Bacterial small subunit ribosomal RNA
Source: RNAcentral